RNAcentral lists this ribosomal RNA (459 nucleotides) under uncultured bacterium. RNAcentral's name for it is "bacterial SSU rRNA". It matches the Rfam family "Bacterial small subunit ribosomal RNA", at positions 28 to 505 of the family's 1533-position model. The record is from RNAcentral.
GAUGAACGCUGGCGGUGUGCCUUAAGCAUGCAAGUCGAACGGGGUUGCCUUCGGGUAACUUAGUGGCAAACGGGUGAGUACAACACAGAAACGUACCUUAAAGUGGGGAAUAACUCAUCGAAAGAUGGGCUAAUACCGCAUGUGCUGGCAACAGUAAAGGGCUUAACUGCUUGCUUUAAGAGCGGUCUGUGCGCUAUCAGCUAGUUGGUGAGGUAAUGGCUUACCAAGGCUACGACGGCUAGGGGGCGUGAGAGCGCGACCCCCCACAAGGACACUGAGACACGGGUCCUACAUCUACGGAUGGCAGCAACUGGGAAUCUUCCGCAAUGGACGAAAGUCUGACGGAGCGACACCGCGUGAAGGAUUAAGGCCUUCGGGUUGUAAACUUCUUUUAUAUGGGAAGAAGAUCUAGUUUACUAGAUUUGACGGUACCAUACGAAUAAGCACCUGCUAACUACG